Molecule: unclassified non-coding RNA, 336 nt
Filed under: soil metagenome
Description: partial contains 5.8S ribosomal RNA, internal transcribed spacer 2, and large subunit ribosomal RNA
Rfam family: 5.8S ribosomal RNA (bases 1-120)
Source: RNAcentral
GAUGAAGAACGUAGUGAAAUGCGAUAAGUAGUGUGAAUUGCAGAAUUCAGUGAAUCAUCGAAUCUUUGAACGCACAUUGUGCCCCUUGGUAUUCCAUGGGGCAUGCCUGUUCGAGCGUCAUUUGUACCUUCAAGCUUUGCUUGGUGUUGGGUGUUUGUCUCGCCUUUGCGUGUAGACUCGCCUUAAAAUAAUUGGCAGCCGGCGUAUUGAUUUCGGAGCGCAGUACAUCUCGCGCUUUGCACUCAUAACGACAGCGUCCAAAAGUACAUUUUACACUCUUGACCUCGGAUCAGGUAGGGAUACCCGCUGAACUUAAGCAUAUCAAUAAGCGGAGGA